This 717-nucleotide ribosomal RNA is filed under the name Ampelomyces sp. ATCC 201056. Its description in RNAcentral is "eukaryotic LSU rRNA". It matches the Rfam family "Eukaryotic large subunit ribosomal RNA", at positions 23 to 758 of the family's 3401-position model. The record is from RNAcentral. Lineage: Eukaryota; Fungi; Ascomycota; Dothideomycetes; Pleosporales; Phaeosphaeriaceae.
ACCCGCUGAACUUAAGCAUAUCAAUAAGCGGAGGAAAAGAAACCAACAGGGAUUGCCUUAGUAACGGCGAGUGAAGCGGCAACAGCUCAAAUUUGAAAUCUGGCUCUCUUAGGGCCCGAGUUGUAAUUUGCAGAGGGCGCUUUGGUGUCGGCAGCGGUCCAAGUUCCUUGGAACAGGACGUCACAGAGGGUGAGAAUCCCGAACGUGGUCGCUAGCCUUUGCCGUGUAAAGCCCCUUCGACGAGUCGAGUUGUUUGGGAAUGCAGCUCUAAAUGGGAGGUAAAUUUCUUCUAAAGCUAAAUACUAGGCCAGAGACCGAUAGCGCACAAGUAGAGUGAUCGAAAGAUGAAAAGCACUUUGGAAAGAGAGUCAAAUAGCACGUGAAAUUGUUGAAAGGGAAGCGCUUGCAGCCAGACUUGCCUGUAGUAGUUUAUCUAGACUUUUGUCUAGUGCACUCUUCUGCAGGCAGGCCAGCAUCAGUCUAGGCGAUUGGAUAAAGGUCUCUAUCACGUACCUCUCUUUGGGGAGGCCUUAUAGGGGAGACGUCAUGCAACCAGUCUGGACUGAGGUCUGCGCAUCUGCUAGGAUGCUAGCGUAAUAGCUGUAAGCGGCCCGUCUUGAAACACGGACCAAGGAGUCUAACAUCUAUGCGAGUGUUUGGGUGUCAAGCCCAAACGCGUAAUGAAAGUGAACGGAGGUAGGAACCCUUUGGGUGCAC